GGGCCCGCACAAGCGGUGGAGCAUGUGGUUUAAUUCGAUGAUACGCGAGGAACCUUACCAGGGCUUAAAUGUAAGUUGCAUUAGUUAGAGAUAGCUAUUUCUUCGGACCACUUACAAGGUGCUGCAUGGUUGUCGUCAGCUCGUGCCGUGAGGUGUCAGGUUAAGUCCUAUAACGAGCGCAACCCCUGUCGUUAGUUACCAGCAAUUAAAGUUGGGUACUCUAGCGAGACUGCCGGUGCAAACCGUGAGGAAGGUGGGGAUGACGUCAAGUCCUCAUGGCCCUUACAGGCUGGGCUACACACGUGCUACAAUGGCGAUGACAGUGGGCAGCGACCCCGCAAGGGUGAGCUAA
RNAcentral lists this ribosomal RNA (352 nucleotides) under uncultured bacterium. RNAcentral's name for it is "bacterial SSU rRNA". It matches the Rfam family "Bacterial small subunit ribosomal RNA", at positions 917 to 1271 of the family's 1533-position model. The record is from RNAcentral.